RNAcentral lists this ribosomal RNA (696 nucleotides) under Adhaeribacter sp. MJS12. RNAcentral's name for it is "bacterial SSU rRNA". It matches the Rfam family "Bacterial small subunit ribosomal RNA", at positions 58 to 762 of the family's 1533-position model. Lineage: Bacteria; Pseudomonadati; Bacteroidota; Cytophagia; Cytophagales; Hymenobacteraceae. The record is from RNAcentral.
CAAGUCGAACGGGGCCCUUCGGGGUCCAGUGGCGCACGGGUGCGUAACGCGUAUGAAACCUACCUACCACUGGGGGAUAGCCCUCCGAAAGGAGGAUUAAUACCGCAUAACACAGCUUGAGGGCAUCUGAGGGCUGUUAAAGAUUUAUCGGUGGUAGAUGGGCAUGCGUGCCAUUAGCUAGUUGGCGGGGUAACGGCCCACCAAGGCGACGAUGGCUAGGGGUUCUGAGAGGAUGAUCCCCCACACUGGCACUGAGAUACGGGCCAGACUCCUACGGGAGGCAGCAGUAGGGAAUAUUGGGCAAUGGGCGGAAGCCUGACCCAGCCAUGCCGCGUGCAGGAUGAAGGCCUUCUGGGUUGUAAACUGCUUUUACCAGGGAAGAAAAGACCCAUGCGUGGGGCACUGACGGUACCUGGGGAAUAAGCACCGGCUAACUCCGUGCCAGCAGCCGCGGUAAUACGGAGGGUGCAAGCGUUGUCCGGAUUUAUUGGGUUUAAAGGGUGCGUAGGCGGCCCCUUAAGUCAGUGGUGAAAGCCCGCGGCUCAACCGCGGAACUGCCAUUGAUACUGGGGGGCUUGAGUACAGACGAGGUAGGCGGAAUUGAAGAUGUAGCGGUGAAAUGCUUAGAUAUCUUCAAGAACCCCGAUUGCGUAGGCAGCUUACUAGGCUGUAACUGACGCUGAGGCACGAAAGCGU